Molecule: RNA transcript, 5356 nt
Organism: Ictalurus punctatus (channel catfish)
Lineage: Eukaryota; Metazoa; Chordata; Actinopteri; Siluriformes; Ictaluridae
Exons: 8
Source: RefSeq, a predicted model, not a curated record
GGGUACACACACACGCGUGCGCGCGCGCGCGCACAGAGUGAGAGAAACAAAGGGACCCAUCAACGCUAGCCCGGACACGCACGCGCUCCAACUUUUUUUUGUUAUCCACCCAGCGGAUGCCACCGCGAGGCGCGAGCUGCUCCACUCUGUCCAGAUCUGCGGGAUUUUAUCGGAAGGCUCAACUUCACGACCGCGCUCAAGUUUGGGAUUUUGGAUUAUAUCGACUUGGGAACGUUUUACGGAUUAAGGAUUACCCACGAUUCCCUCUUCCGAAUACUGGAUUAUUUACUCGUGCCGUGGGAUUAUCGCACCGUCCGCGACGGGAAAACGGCGUGAGGUUUAUUGAUCCUGAGGAAUCGGAUGGUUUGGAAUCGGGUCGGUGUUCCAGACGUGUCCCGUACCAGAUGUUCCGGAAUGGGACAUACCAUCAAUGGACACCAUGGGUGUGUUCUUCAACUUGAUCAGCAGGACCUGAGAUGCCCUCAUGCUGACCUGCAACGAAAGAACCGUACAGGAACCGGAGGUUAAGUAACCAAACACAACGAAAGAUCUGUUAUUGAUCACGAUGUGCACGCCGUGGCUCGUCGAGGAAACAGCAGCGAGGUGGAGGAGGAGGAGGAUUCAUCCUGAGUCACUGAGUGAAACUGAGCCUGUUGAAGAUUGAAGACCUGAGAUGAGUCGAAGCCUCCCGCUGUGAGGUCAGGGGUCACUAUUGAUUACUCGCCCAGCAGGAGCCCACUUGGACAUUUAAGGACUUGAAGUACCACAGUUGCAUUUAUCAUGAUCAACCAGGCCUGAACAGGACUUGGCAGACUAGUGCAGUGCAUCAUGGGAAAACUGCUGAGCUCAUCAGAAAGGGCAGAAGUGCACACCAUGAUGACCUUUGACCUUCGUCUUUUUUCCAGAUUUGUGAGGAGAGCAUGCUGGAGGUUUUUUUCUUUUUCCCCAAAACCUUUUUUUUUUUUUUUUUUUUAAACAAAGAUUUCAUUGUUCCAAAAGGGCAGCCAAAAAAAAACCUCACGGUGUGAAAAAUCGAAACUACCGAAAUAAAUAAAUAAAAAGCCGAGCAGUUGAGGGUUGAGGAUUUUGCUUAAGGGCCGUAUAAUGUUCUGGUCACUAGCACAGAAACUUAACCACUGAGUGACUACAAAUAUAAAUAUUUAGCUCUUCAAAUGUAAAUUACUAUUUUGAAUUUGCUGCAUUGGUAGUUAUUUCAUAAAUGGUAAAAAAAAAAAAGUAUUAGUUUUAUUAUAUUAUUUAAAUGUACCAUGUUAUGUGUGAACAUCCUCAAACACUUUAUUAAUAAAUAAAAAAAUUUUAAAAAAGAAUAUAAAAUUGUUUUUUGCACUUAAGUUCAAAAAUCCUCAACAAUCUCAAUAUACAAUUAAUCCUAGAAGUAUCUCCAGCAGGCUACGAGUUGCUUUGUUCACAUUUAUGUUUGUAUUUAUUUACUUAUUUAGUAUCAAUUUCAGGUUAAAACUGAAAAUCUGUAACUCUUAAUCAUUCUGUGUAUUUGUUUUAUUAUUUACAUACACGCUAAGAUCUUGGAAUUAUACGGUUCUAUUUGGUCAUUUUAAUAGAUUAAAGAAAUGAUCACUAAUCUCAAAUUCUAAUGAUAUAUUUCUAAACUCAGUGUUCAUAUUUUGCUAUUAAAAUGAAUUUGUUAAAAAUUCUAUGAUCAAACAUUCUUUGAUCAUAAAGUGAAUUUGUUGUGUAUGUUCCAUGUCAUGUAAAUGUGUUCUCAUCAUGUGAGUUCACUUUGCCAUUGUAUCCUCGAACAACUAAUGCUCAAAUUAUGACAUGCAAUUGUAAAAUUCUUAACAGUCCCCGAAAACCAUUUCUAAAACGUACCGAUGAAAAAGAACAAAAACAAAGAACGUGGAGCGCGAAGUGGGUCCAAAUGGAUAACCAGACUAUGGAAGACGAUGUGGGUCAGAACCACAGAGGACUUAACCAGGGCAAACCCAGAGAAAGUGAGCGAGCUGUCACACCUUGUGACCCAGGAAGGAAAUUCAGGACCAAAUUAGUGCCAGAUGGAUGACAUCACCUGGAGGCCAGAGCGCGAGACGAGUGCCCAGACUGCACGAACCCCCCGUGACCCCACCGUGACCCCUGCGACCUCACCAUACUAUCGUCCUCUUUAUGUUUCAGAAUGGUGUUUUCUCCUUCACUGUGGAGACAGCUGAGCGCUGGCAGGCUCUUCCCACCGGCGCUUGUUAAGACGACAGCUCUCAGAAAGCUGAAGGCUCGGGUCGAGGGUCCGUCUCUCUCCUCUCGACCACACGGAGGGGAAACGAGACGCUCCGAGGGGCAGAUGGAUGUGUUUACACCUGCGGGAGGUGGAGGAGGAUGGAGGGAGGAAGAGGAGGAGGAGGAGGAAGAGGAGGAAGAGGAGACAAAGCGUCUCCCGCCUCUGUCGUUCCGAGUCGUACUGCUGCCAUCCAGCUCACGUGAGAGGAACAGCACGUUCCAUCCGUCCGUCCGAUCCCGGCUCACCUUCUCGUCUAACUCCGGCGUGACGGGGAACGGACAACACGCUCGGGAUCGGUCUCCUCUCUGCUCCGCGGGCGACGCGGCAGAUCUUCUCCUCACCGAUCCCGGGAAAUCCCGAGGAGCAGGAGACUCGGAAUCCGAGCACGCUGCAGCACCGGCGUCGUUCUCUUUUUAUUUCAGCUCGCUCUCUCUCGCCUGGACGCUGGACGGAGAACCGGAGAACUCCGGACUGGCUCGGAUCUGAUCCGAGUGGAUAUACUGGGAAUUUGUAGACGUGUCGAGUUAAAAGGAUGGUGUCGUAAAGUGCCUCCACUCGGAUCGGUGGCUUCGGUGGAGAAUCCGGGAUCCUGUCUGAUACGGAAAGCUCUGAUUCAGUUCGUAUACCAGAGCUGGAAUAUUUUACAGAUCUUAAUGGAUCACGCCUGGAUUUUUCCAGAAGCUUCUCUGGAUCCGAGUGUGGACUUUUACUGCGCACUGAAGCACGGAUCACUCGGGUCAGAUCUGUACGUUCCCAUCUUUCCGGAAAACAAAUGUCCUUUUUUUUUUUUUUUUUUUUUUUAAAUGGAGAGGACGGAGAGAGAGAGGAAGAUAUAAGAACUUGUUUUUUUUUUCUUCUUUUCUUUCCAUGAUGGAGAACGUCACCAAUUCUGGAUUGAAUCUUUCUAAACUUUGGACACUUUUUAGGAAAAGGGAUUUUCUCCACAGAAGAUGACUAUUUUAAGCUUUUUUUCUUUAUCCCGUGAAUGCGCUUGUUCUAAAACGUUAUCGUUUCUAUAGUAACAUGUUUGUUUAACAUUCACGGAAGGAGUCUCCAGUGUCCGACGUAAAUCUAGAACUUCUAGGACGGAGGAGUUUGUGCUUCUUUUGCGGUUUCUCGGUAAUAAAAGACGAUGAACAAAACCAGGGAUGUUCCACAACCUUAAAGGUAACUCUAAAUGGAUAGAAACUAUGGGGUGAAGUUCUUUAACAAAUAAAAAAGUUUAAUCGUUGGCAAAUCUGCUGUGCGUGUGAUCUGUGCACGCACACUCAGCCAGUUCAUCCUGAUGAUGAUGAUGAUGAUGAUUUACUGGGUUUACUCUUGGAAAAGGUUCUUCAAGGGUUCUUUAAGGGUUCUUUGCUUCCAAACACUUAUUUGGAGGGUUCUACGUAGAGUCGUUAAGGGUACGGAAAUUGUCCAGGAGCGUAGCUAGCUGGAGUUUCGAUCUUUCCAUAAAUAAAUAAAUAAAGAAUAUCUAGUAUGUUUCCAUCAACAGUUCCAUCCAUGACAUUCUUGCAAAAAUUUUGGGUACUUUGCUCCAAAAAACGACCAAGAUAUUAACGUCUCUGUAUGUAGGAGUAACCCAGGGGGCGGAGCUUAACAAAGCGUUAAAUACGCCUAUUUUAUAUUGUUUAUAUAAAAACCCCACUGCUAAAUUGCAUUUUUUUGGCACUCUGCCAUGUUUGCAUCUUGGUAAAAAUGGUUCUUCAAGAGUUCUUCAGAGGUUCUGAGGAUAAUUAAGUGUUCUUGGCCUCCAAAACGGUUUCGACCUGGAACCGUUUCUUGUCGAAAAACACGUUUUUUUUUGUAGAGUUCUACAUAGAAUCUUUACGGGUUUCCCAAAAGAAAGACAACCGAACAACCCUGAAGGGUUCUAAACACUUUGCUGUAGGGUUCUAUAUGGAAUCUUAAAGGGUUCCCCCAAGAGGGACCGCAAAGGCAAUGUAAAGGUUCUACUAAACAAGUGUUCUUCAAGGGUGUGUUAGACAGGUAAGGAUUUUUAGCUUCCAAAAAAAAAAAAAAAACUGUUCUAUGUGGAACCAUUUCUAUUAUGGAAAGACACUCUGUCUUGUAGGGUUAGCCUCCUAAAAUGUUUGAACCAUUUGUUGCUCUAUGUAGAAUCUUUACGGGUUCCCCGAAGAGAGACACCCGAAGAACUCUUAAGAAUCGUGGAUCAUUUAAUGGUUCAUAGUUUCCUCAAGCAGUUCUCUGUGGAACCUUUUCUAAUGGACGAAGCACACUCCGUUGUAGGGUUCUACAUAGAAGCUUGAACGGUUCUCAUAGCAGGGGCGACGCGAAUAGAAUAGGUUCUUCACCGGUUCCUUAGAGGUUCUGUGGAUAAUCAAGGGGGUUUUAGUCUCCUAAAAGGUUUGAACCAUUUGUUGUAGCGUUCUACGUAGGAGUUCCCCCAGGAGAGACGAGCCUUAAGAAUGUUAGAAGAAAGGGUGUUUAUGGGUUCACUGGAUAAUUGAAGGGUUCAUAGUCUCCUAAAGCAUUUCUACGUGGAACCUUUUCUAAUGGAACUCUCUUGUAGGGUUUUACACAGAAUCUUUCACAGUUCCCGCAGAGGGACAACACGAAUCAUCCUUAAGGGUUCUAAAAAAAAAAGAAAGAGAGAGAGAUGUGUGUGUGUGUGUGUUUGGAGGUCGGUCUUGUCAGGACCCAUCACACUCAGCCAUCUGGAGACAUGAACACCCUCAAAAAGCGGUCAUCAGGGCUUCAGGGAUUUGCACCCAGUUGCAUCAGUUCAGCUCAGCAGCUUCGCUAAAAAUAAUAACCACCGACAACAACAACAACAACAACAACAAUAACAAAACCCAGCAGAAACACAAGAAAAUAAAAACGCUCUCGGGAGACGUUAAUGAGUUUUAUUUCAGAAUUUAACGAUGCGUUAGUUAGAGAAGCCGGAAUUUCAUUCACUUUGAUUUUUUAUUUUUUUUUAUUAUAGAAAAUCCAAAAUGGCUGUUUGUUAUGAAAUGAUGAACUGCGCUGGAAGGUUCUGCGUUCUGAUCCGUCAGGUGUUGAUUGGUUUUAUACUCAUUUAAAGCAACUAUAAACGGAUAAAAAGUACACGUUCUUUAGUGACGAAAAACGAUCAGCCUUUUC